This 689-nucleotide ribosomal RNA is filed under the name Hymenochaetaceae sp. 1 AJMH-2010. RNAcentral's name for it is "eukaryotic LSU rRNA". The stretch from base 317 to 470 matches the Rfam family "5.8S ribosomal RNA". Lineage: Eukaryota; Fungi; Basidiomycota; Agaricomycetes; Hymenochaetales; Hymenochaetaceae. The record is from RNAcentral.
GAUCAUUACUGAGGUUACCCGGGGUGAGUUUGUUGGGUGCUUGCUGCUGGCGUUCUCUCAGAGCGCAUGUGCACGGCUCCUCUUCUCGCCUUCGUUCCUUUUAUCAACCCCCUGUGCACUACAUAGGAUUAGAGAGAAGCGUGAUGCUUUAAGUUAGAUUAGCAUUAACCUAGUAGUCGUGGGUCCGCGACCUUCGGCGAAAGGGGAGUUCAUUUUGAUCGACGUCGCGUGGUACCUCGAAGUCCUUGAUUAUCACAAACCACUAUAUAUGUCUUGUCAGAAUGAUCAGUCCCUUGUUGGACGCUAAAUAUAAUACAACUUUCAACAACGGAUCUCUUGGCUCUCGCAUCGAUGAAGAACGCAGCGAAAUGCGAUAAGUAAUGUGAAUUGCAGAAUUCAGUGAAUCAUCGAAUCUUUGAACGCACCUUGCGCCCUUUGGUAUUCCGAAGGGCACGCCUGUUUGAGUGUCAUGUUCACCUCAAUCCAUCAGCUUUUGCGGCUGACUUGAAUUGGAUUUGGGAGCCUGCUGGGCCCUUCGUGGCUCGGCUCUCCUUGAAUGCAUGAGUGAGCUUCUGGCUCGCGUUGCUGGUGUGAUAGUCUUUCAUCAUUGGCGACGCUUGCUUAAUGGGCUUGCUUUCGAACCGUCUUUUCAACGGAGACAACUAUUGACAUAUUUGACCUCAAAUCAG